Molecule: long non-coding RNA, 1159 nt
Filed under: Apteryx haastii (Great spotted kiwi)
Lineage: Eukaryota; Metazoa; Chordata; Aves; Apterygiformes; Apterygidae
Description: lncRNA (ENSAHAG00000015014.1)
Source: RNAcentral
CUCUGCUGUGCUGCAAAUUCCUCCUCCCACAAAUGCUGUUACUGCCAGCCCGCUCAGCAAAUGCUGCCCCCUCCUUUUCCUAGGAGGUUGUGGGGCCAUACGGGACAAGUGCAAGAUCCUUAUAAUAAAUGCCAGCAAUGUCUUGAGUGCCUUUGUGUGAGUGCCCCAAAGCGUCCGUAGCUUGAUCUGAGGAAAUCUCAGAGCUCUUGGGCUCCUGGCUCUGCAAGGGGUGAGGAUGUGCCCAGGGCCAGGUUGCCCGUCGCACCCAGCCCUCAGUGCUCUGUGAAGCCAGCUGUGGAGCGCGGACUGCUGCUGCAGAGCCUGCGCAGCCAGGACAGCUGUCAUUUCAGCAGCCGUCCAGUGUAGGGCUGUCUCACUGCUUGGGCCUCAUUUCAAAGCCUCUGCACCCUUUUCCCCUUCACAGGGGCUCCUUGUGCAAGUAACUAAAGGAAAGGAACGGAGGUUACUUUGGGGCUCUGUGCCUGACCUUGUGCUGCUCAUUUGCACAGGCCUUGUGAGCCUAGAGUGCCUUGGCCACCUUGCGGUGUUACCGCAAGAGCUUGCCUGUGUGUCUGGGUUGAGGAGCCAAGAGAUGGCAUCGAGCAGAGCAGUGGCUGGGGAGUGUGCAAGUGGCGAGUGUCCUGCAUGCAUCUCUUUGUGCUGGCACUUGGUUGUAUCUAGCAGAAGAGCCAGCUCUGUGGGGCAGAGACAGUGUGUUUGUAGACUAGCUGGCACACCAGCGGUCUGGCGUCAGGUUGAUGGCUGUUGCAGUGCCGAGUUGAUCUGAGAGUGUCAGAAGCUCUUUCCUGUGGAGCUGCUCCCUCAGCUGGUCUCUGUACCUAGAAAUGCAGUAGAAAUGGAAGUGGCAUCCUGCUGUCAUUGUGUAGGUGCUGCAGUGCAAAGGCUCCCAGCUCGGACUUGAUGGUACUAAAGGAAAAGCAAGACCAAUUGUUCCCUUUUGUGAUUUGUGCGCAGGGUGACAGAGUGGAGCUGUACCAUGAUCUGGAGAGAGUCUUGCCAGGAGAUGAAAGCUGUUUGCAGAAGACUCUUCUGUACGGAGUGAUAACAGCAUAAUCAAGGGAUGUGAGAGUGGCCCAGGUGAGCUUCUCAUCUGUGAAGGUUUGCACUUUUCAGAUCCCUUGUGACUCAGUCCCAGAUA